RNAcentral lists this ribosomal RNA (253 nucleotides) under uncultured bacterium. RNAcentral's name for it is "partial 16S ribosomal RNA". It matches the Rfam family "Bacterial small subunit ribosomal RNA", at positions 524 to 776 of the family's 1533-position model. The record is from RNAcentral.
UACGUAGGGGGCAAGCGUUGUCCGGAAUCAUUGGGCGUAAAGAGCGCGUAGGCGGCCCUGUAAGUCCGCUGUGAAAGUCAAGGGCUCAACCCUUGGAUGCCGGCGGAUACUGUCGGGCUAGAGUCCGGAAGAGGCGAGUGGAAUUCCCGGUGUAGCGGUGAAAUGCGCAGAUAUCGGGAGGAACACCUAUGGCGAAGGCAGCUCGCUGGGACGGUACUGACGCUGAGACGCGAAAGCGUGGGGAGCAAACAGG